AAGUACUUAUAAUCUCAAAAGAUAUGAAAGAUGACAGGUCUAGUAAAAGCAGCUAAGUGAUCAGUGUUGGCUUACCAGCUUAUGAAAUUAUCUAUGAGAUUUUAUAGUCUGUCAAAGUCAAUACAUCCGGCUUGUUACUUAAUAAAGUCUCAACCUUUUAUUUUGUUUUCUUACUUUCACUUCUGAUGAUUUUUUUUUUUGUCAUCUACUUCUGAUGAUUAAACAAAGAACAUAAUAUUUUAUUUAUCGGCACGACACUCCCAAUGUUUUACGUGACUGCAUUUAUGCUAAAGACACAAAAACAAAAUAAUUUAAUGAUUAUCAUUUACGUAACAUAUGUAACUAUAACUUUUAUGAAUAUAUUUGAUUUAUCUUUACAAACAUCAAACAUAUUUUUACAUGUGAAAGUAUUAGUAAAAGCCCUAAAACUAGAUAUAUAAACAAUUGAUAUACUUUUAUUAUAUAUUAGAUGAGUAUUACUGGUACAACUGGUACAAAUUUGACAUUCAGAAAUUGAUAAAAUAAAUUUGGCAUUCUACAUGAGAAAACAAUCUCAUUCCCAAUUGGUAUGUAUUCAAAAAGUUUCUCUUAAUUUAUUUGAAAUUUUGGAAAAACAAUUAUUGCAUAAUUUCAUAAGUUUACAUGAUCUACCUUAUACUUUUAAGGUUUGUUAACUUAUUUGUCUACAUAAUUUUUGGAAAACAUACAUGAAAUGUAUUUAUACGAAAUUGAUGAUUUCAUUGUAACCGGGCAAUGUCAUGUAAACAUAAAGAAGUGGUACAACUAAGGUAAUUGUAUUUAUUAUGAGGUACAACUAAUAUUUUUAGAUUUUACUGCCAAAGUACAACUAUGCACAAACUGGUACAACUAAAAAACUAGUACAACUAUGUAUCGUCGGUAUAACUAGAAAACUGGUACAACUAUUUAUUGUUUUAUUUAGUAUUGUUUAAAUGUGUAUUACGUUUUAAACAAGUAUCAUGUUUUAAACAUUGUGGUUGAACACUGACCUCGAGUAGUUGUACUAGUUGUACCAUUCAUAUAUAUCAUUAUCACUUGUCAUUAUUUGUUUAUGCAAAAAUAUGGGCAUGCGUCAUGCUAAAGUUUAUUUUCUUAUAAAAUUAUAAUUUGACUGCCGGAAGCAUGGGCUUGGUCCGCUUCUACUCAGGGCCGGCUCUGUUAACAAUGAUAUAUAUAAUAGAAUACAUAUAUAUAGAUAUACUUAUUUUCACUGUAAUAUCAUACAAUAAGGAAUUAUAUACUCAUAUACCAUUUUAGGGUUUAGCUCGUUGUCCACGUGGGUUUGGUCCGCAAUGCAUUUAUCUUGUGAAGCUUGUACAACAGUACAAGAAGGGCAAUUCAUAAAAGCUACCAGAAUUAGUUAUCUCUCAGUUAUUUUCAAUGAUUUAUCGUCACACAAGAAGACAUUAAUGUUAUUUUGGCCACAAAACCAAGCCAAAAUGGGCUUCAUUCUCAAGGUGUUUCACAGUGUAAAAAUUAAGAAGUUCAGUACGUGCGUCUCAGCUGAAUGCACUCUAGAUUAGUUAGGUUUAUAAAGUUAUACAUCUUCCUGGUUUUAUAGUGGAACCGGGAUGUCCAAUCUGCGGGUUAACGGACAUAAUCGACACCUAUUGUUUGGUAGAAUAAGGAAACACUUGAAUUAAAAGUGCAGACAAAUACAAAUAUCGCAAUUUCAUUAGUCGGACAUCGUUGUUUAAUGAGUCGUCACUAUAUAAUAGAGUAAAAAUGUUCAAUAUAAGAAAAAAGGAAAAGAAUUCCCCCUUAAUAACAUAUUUAUUUGAGUUUCCUUUUUCAUGUUUUAUGAAGCAUAGUAUUUGCAGCCCUGCAGAUUAGGUAUAUCGAUGUCUAUAUUCGAGGAUUACGCUCAUUCUUGUGUUAUCCGAACUCCAGAACCUGCAGAAGAUAAACAUGAAAAUAAAACUCUUUAAAUAUAUUGAUUUUAAUGAACUUGUCUUUUUAUGUUUAAAAAUGACUUUUUAUUUUGGACAUUCUAUUAUAUAAAAAGAUAACAUAAGAAAAGUUAUUGUUAAAAAAAAAACAUAAGAAAAGUGUGAUCCUCGACGAUAGACAUCGUUAUACCUAGUCUGCAAGUAUAUAUGUAUACCUUGAUGAACACCAGCUAGCAUGGUGGAGGCCAAUCACACUCGUGAUAUUGGCACGGCUCAAUCAAACAAACCGAUCUCUACAACAAAAGAGUGUGGUUUUCUGAUUGAACCGCACCAAUAUCUCGUAUUGUCUUUAUGUUAGUAAGAUAUUCUUACGUUCUCGUCGAUCAGUUGCUUAUUAUCCCAUAGUCAACAUCAAAAAUAAAAAAUAAAAGAAUCAAAGAAGGCAAAUGACUGAAUAUAGAAUAGAAUUGUACGUGAAGAGAGAACAUGGACCAAAAUCUCAUAUGGACCAAAAGGUCAAAAAAUAAUCUACAGCAUCCAAAAUAAAUAUGUAUGGACCUCUAUAAUGUAAAUUACUUUAACACCCUUAAUGAAACUAAAUUAAAAUAAAAUUAAAAACACAAAACUAAAAAAAAUUGUGGUCGCCGGCGUAGGGUUUUUUUCUUCCUCAUUCUCUGCGUCUUUUCUUCUACUACUCAUCGUCUUCAACCAUGUUCCACUGCAUCGGCAUCAGCGAUGAAGCUUGUUAUCCACCAUGUUAAAUGGCGUCAAAACUCGUGACAUCCCUUGCUUUAUCUUGAGCUCUGAUGCCACAACCUCUUCUCAGCUUUAUUCUCCAACUCCUCCGCCGGUUUGGUGAGCCACAACCAAACCUGAUUGAGACAUUGAUCCCAGCGAUCCCAACAGCUUUGGUGCUCAGCAUGUAUUCGACUCCAUGACAUCUGCAUCGUGGAUGAAGCUCUUUAUCCACCGUGGCCUUCUCUCUUCCAAGACCAGACCUUGAAAGGUGCCUUCACCACACUACGAUUCACCACCGCAGCUUGUCCUCUCUAAGUUCUAUAUCCGUCACUUUUCCCUCAUCUCUCUUAUGCGACCUCCGGUGAUCCCCUGUGUCAAAGACGAGUAUAGCAUACUCGACAUGCAUGAAAAAUCUUGCUUUCAAGGCCUAAGUAUUGAGAAAUGGAAGCUGAAUCAACAGCUUUUUCAGGUCCUAUACAAAGACUGAGCUCUGUCAAAGAUACAUCUUCAAAGAGUGGGAUCAGUCAGAGUUUUGAUGUUAAGCCUCUCGAGAUAAACACUUCACUGAAAAUUCUUAUAAAAAUUAAAGUGGCCUUUUGCGUUUUUAACUUAUGAUGUGUAUUGAAAUCUCCAGCUAUUGGAUGACCUCUCUGUGGAAUGUAGGAAGUUUGGAGAUGUUUUGAAGAGUAAAGUACAUAUAAUUUCAAAAGAUAUGAAAGAUGCCAGGUCUAGUAAAAGCAGCUAAGUGAUCAGUGUUUGCUUACCAGCUUAUGAAAUUAUCUAUGAGAUUUUAUACUGUGUCAAAGUCAAUACAUCCGGCUUGUUACUUAAUAAAGUCUCAACCUUUUUUUUUGUUUUCUUACUUUCACUUCUGUUGAGUAAACAAAGAACACAAUAUUUUCUUUAUCUUCACGACACUCCCAAUGUUUACGUGACUGCAUUUAUGCUAAAGUACCUCUUCUCAGCUUUAUUCUCCAACUCCUCCGCCGGUUUGGUGAGCCACAACCAAACCUGAUUGAGACAUCGAUCCCAGCGAUCCCAACAGCUUCGGUGCUCAGCAUGUAUUCGACUCCAUGACAUCUGCAUCGUGGAUGAAGCUCUUUAUCCACCGUGGCCUUCUCUCUUCCAAGACCAGAGCUUGAAAUCUUCACUGAACCCAUGUGCCUUCACCACACUACGAUUCACCACCACAGCUUGUCCUCUCUAAGUUCUCUAUCCGUCACUUUUCCCUCAUCUCUCUUAUGUGACCUCUGGUGAUCCCUUGUGUCAAAGACGAGUAUAGCAUACUCGACAUGCAUGAAAAAUCUUGCUUUCAAGGCCUAAGUAUUGAGAAAUGGAAGCUGAAUCAACAGCUUUUUCAGGUCCUAUACCAAGACUGAGCUCUGUCAAAGAUACAUCUUCAAUAAGAGUGGGAUCAGUCAGAGUUUUGAUGUUAAGCCUCUCGAGAUAAACACUUCACUGAAAAUUCUUAUAAAAAUUAAAGUGGCCUUUUGCGUUUUUAACUUAUGAUGUGUAUUGAAAUCUGCAGCAAUUGGAUGGUCUCUCUGUGGAAUGUAGGAAGUUUAAAGAUGUUUUGGAGAGUAAAGUACUUAUAAUCUCAAAAGAUAUGAAAGAUGACAGGUCUAGUAAAAGCAGCUAAGUGAUCAGUGUUGGCUUACCAGCUUAUGAAAUUAUCUAUGAGAUUUUAUAGUCUGUCAAAGUCAAUACAUCCGGCUUGUUACUUAAUAAAGUCUCAACCUUUUAUUUUGUUUUCUUACUUUCACUUCUGAUGAUUUUUUUUUUUGUCAUCUACUUCUGAUGAUUAAACAAAGAACAUAAUAUUUUAUUUAUCGGCACGACACUC
This 4488-nucleotide long non-coding RNA is filed under the name Brassica napus (rape). The record is from RNAcentral. Lineage: Eukaryota; Viridiplantae; Streptophyta; Magnoliopsida; Brassicales; Brassicaceae.